This 260-nucleotide ribosomal RNA is filed under the name uncultured bacterium. RNAcentral's name for it is "partial 16S ribosomal RNA". It matches the Rfam family "Bacterial small subunit ribosomal RNA", at positions 626 to 884 of the family's 1533-position model. The record is from RNAcentral.
CUCGAAACUGCCAGGCUCGAGUACGGGAGAGGGUGGUGGAAUUCCCAGUGUAGAGGUGAAAUUCGUAGAUAUUGGGAGGAACACCGGUGGCGAAAGCGACCACCUGGACCGAUACUGACGCUGAGACGCGAAAGCGUGGGGAGCAAACAGGAUUAGAUACCCUGGUAGUCCACGCUGUAAACGAUGGGUACUAGGUGUUGCGGGUAUUGACCCCUGCAGUGCCGAAGUUAACACAUNAAGUACCCCGCCUGGGGAGUCGA